This 507-nucleotide ribosomal RNA is filed under the name Fusarium sp. DG3. Its description in RNAcentral is "SSU rRNA". It matches the Rfam family "Eukaryotic small subunit ribosomal RNA", at positions 218 to 722 of the family's 1831-position model. Lineage: Eukaryota; Fungi; Ascomycota; Sordariomycetes; Hypocreales; Nectriaceae. The record is from RNAcentral.
UAUCUCAAGCUUGGUCAUUUAGAGGUCGUGGUGAUUCAUAAUAACUUCUCGAAUCGCAUGGCCUUGCGCCGGCGAUGGUUCAUUCAAAUUUCUUCCCUAUCAACUUUCGAUGUUUGGGUAUUGGCCAAACUUGGUUGCUACGAGGAACGGAGGGUUAGGGCUCGACCCCGGAGAAGGAGCCUGAGAAACGGCUACUACAUCCAAGGAAGGCAGCAGGCGCGCAAAUUACCCAAUCCCGACUCGGGGAGGUAGUGACAAUAAAUACUGAUACAGGGCUCUUUUGGGUCUUGUAAUUGGAAUGAGUACAAUUUAAAUCCCUUAACGAGGAACAAUUGGAGGGCAAGUCUGGUGCCAGCAGCCGCGGUAAUUCCAGCUCCAAUAGCGUAUAUUAAAGUUGUUGUGGUUAAAAAGCUCGUAGUUGAACCUUGGGCCUGGCUGGCCGGUCCGCCUCACCGCGUGUACUGGUCCGGCCGGGCCUUUCCCUCUGUGGAACCCCAUGCCCCUUCA